CUCCUACGGGAGGCAGCAGUGGGGAAUAUUGCACAAUGGGCGCAAGCCUGAUGCAGCCAUGCCGCGUGUAUGAAGAAGGCCUUCGGGUUGUAAAGUACUUUCAGCAGUGAGGAAGGUGGGUAUGUUAAUAGCAUAUUCAUUUGACGUUAGCUGCAGAAGAAGCACCGGCUAACUCCGUGCCAGCAGCCGCGGUAAUACGGAGGGUGCGAGCGUUAAUCGGAAUUACUGGGCGUAAAGCGCAUGCAGGUGGUUUGUUAAGUCAGAUGUGAAAGCCCGGGGCUCAACCUCGGAAUUGCAUUUGAAACUGGCAAACUAGAGUACUGUAGAGGGGGUAGAAUUUCAGGUGUAGCGGUGAAAUGCGUAGAGAUCUGAAGGAAUACCGGUGGCGAAGGCGGCCCCCUGGACAGAUACUGACACUCAGAUGCGAAAGCGUGGGGAGCAAACAGGAUUAGAUACCCUGGUAG
This 464-nucleotide ribosomal RNA is filed under the name uncultured bacterium. RNAcentral describes it as "bacterial SSU rRNA". It matches the Rfam family "Bacterial small subunit ribosomal RNA", at positions 336 to 793 of the family's 1533-position model. The record is from RNAcentral.